AUGAUUACGUGCGAAGGGGCUACCUCGAGUGCCACCUGAUGAAGGUGGCUUUUCCUAGGUCUAAAAAGCCUUGGGAAUAAGAGGGGGGCAAGACUGGUGUCAGCCGCCGCGGUAACACCAGCCCCUCGAGUGGUGGGGAUGAUUAUUGGGCCUAAAGCGUCCGUAGCCUGCCGUAUAAGUUUCCCGUUAAAUCCAGCGUCUCAAGCGUUGGACUGCGGGAAAUACUGUACGGCUAGAGAGUGGGAGAGGUCAGCGGUAUUCUGGGGGUAGGGGCGAAAUCCUUUGAUCCCCGGAGGACCACCAGUGGCGAAGGCUGCUGACUAGAACACGUCUGACGGUCAGGGACGAAAGCUGGGGUAGCGAACCGGAUUAGAUACCCGGGUAGUCCCAGCCGUAAACGAUGCAUGCUAGGUGUUGGGUUGGCCACGAGCCACCCCAGUGCCGCAGGGAAGCCGUUAAGCAUGCCGCCUGGGAAGUACGAUCGCAAGGUUGAAACUUAAAGGAAUUGGCGGGGGAGCAC
RNAcentral lists this ribosomal RNA (520 nucleotides) under uncultured Thermoprotei archaeon. RNAcentral's name for it is "bacterial SSU rRNA". It matches the Rfam family "Archaeal small subunit ribosomal RNA", at positions 359 to 879 of the family's 1478-position model. The record is from RNAcentral. Lineage: Archaea; Thermoproteati; Thermoproteota; Thermoprotei.